UACGUAGGGACCGAGCGUUGUCCGGAUUCAUUGGGCGUAAAGAGCUCGUAGGCGGCCACUCAAGUCGAAUGUGAAAUCCCUCGGCUUAACCGGGGAACUGCGUCCGAUACUGGUUGGCUUGAGUUUGGGAGAGGGAAGCGGAAUUCCGGGUGUAGCGGUGAAAUGCGUAGAUAUCCGGAGGAACACCGGUGGCGAAGGCGGCUUCCUGGACCGACACUGACGCUGAGGCGCGAAAGCUAGGGGAGCAAACGGG
This 253-nucleotide ribosomal RNA is filed under the name uncultured bacterium. RNAcentral describes it as "partial 16S ribosomal RNA". It matches the Rfam family "Bacterial small subunit ribosomal RNA", at positions 524 to 776 of the family's 1533-position model. The record is from RNAcentral.